CGCGUAGGUGGUUGUGAUAGUCAGAUGUGAAAUCCUUUGGCUUAACUGAAGAACUGCAUCUGAAACUUCAUAACUCGAGUACAGGAGAGGGAAACGGAAUUCCCGGUGUAGAGGUGAAAUUCGUAGAUAUCGGGAGGAACACCAGUGGCGAAGGCGGUUUCCUGGCCUGAUACUGACACUGAGGCGCGAAAGCGUGGGGAGCAAACA
Molecule: ribosomal RNA, 207 nt
Filed under: uncultured Syntrophorhabdus sp.
Lineage: Bacteria; Pseudomonadati; Thermodesulfobacteriota; Syntrophorhabdia; Syntrophorhabdales; Syntrophorhabdaceae
Description: partial 16S ribosomal RNA
Rfam family: Bacterial small subunit ribosomal RNA
Source: RNAcentral